Molecule: ribosomal RNA, 690 nt
Filed under: Triticum aestivum (bread wheat)
Lineage: Eukaryota; Viridiplantae; Streptophyta; Magnoliopsida; Poales; Poaceae
Description: partial small subunit ribosomal RNA
Source: RNAcentral
AUGAAGCUCCUAAGCUGGAACUGCCGGGGCCUGGGGCAGCCUCGGACAGUUCAAGAGCUGGUGCAACUCAUGAGUGCACACCCGUCUAUCGUUUUUAUUUCGAAAACUAGGAAAAAUAAAGAUAGGGUCAAUGGUCUUAAGUGGAGGCUUGGCCUCAAGAAUUGCAUACUGCAUGAUGGCAGAGGAAAGGGUGCCGGUAUCGCCUUGUAUUGGGAUGACUCCGUGGAAAUAAAAAAACUUUCAGUUGGCCCGAGGUACAUCGAUGUGUUGAUACAAAAUAGUCCCAAUGACCAAUGGUGGAGAGGAACCUUUGUGUAUGGUGAACCCAAACCUCAUGAAAGAAUCCAUAUGUGGAAUUUGCUGAGACGGAUAAAACAUAAUGCUAAUGUCCCAUGGUUAGUAAUUGGUGAUUUUAAUGAGACCCAAUGGCAGAGUGAACAUUUUUCAGCUACAAAGCGAUCAGAGAAACAAAUGGCAGAUUUUAGGGAUGUAUUGGUGUGGUGCAACCUACAUGACUUGGGCUUCAGAGGACCGGUCUGGACUUACAACAACAAGCAGUCCGGCAAGAAUAAUGUGAAGGCUAGGUUGGACCGCGGGGUAGCUACUCCUAGCUGGUGUAAUACAUUCCAAAAUGUUAUCAUUCAACAUGUGUGUUCAAUGCGAUCUGAUCACUUGCCGCUCCCGCUUUAG